This 1681-nucleotide ribosomal RNA is filed under the name Salmonella enterica subsp. enterica serovar Paratyphi A. RNAcentral describes it as "bacterial SSU rRNA". It matches the Rfam family "Bacterial small subunit ribosomal RNA". Lineage: Bacteria; Pseudomonadati; Pseudomonadota; Gammaproteobacteria; Enterobacterales; Enterobacteriaceae. The record is from RNAcentral.
ACGAAAAAUGAAUACCAAGUCUCAAGAGUGAACACGUAAUUCAUUACGAAGUUUAAUUCAUUGAGCAUCAAACUUUUAAAUUGAAGAGUUUGAUCAUGGCUCAGAUUGAACGCUGGCGGCAGGCCUAACACAUGCAAGUCGAACGGUAACAGGAAGCAGCUUGCUGCUUUGCUGACGAGUGGCGGACGGGUGAGUAAUGUCUGGGAAACUGCCUGAUGGAGGGGGAUAACUACUGGAAACGGUGGCUAAUACCGCAUAACGUCGCAAGACCAAAGAGGGGGACCUUCGGGCCUCUUGCCAUCAGAUGUGCCCAGAUGGGAUUAGCUUGUUGGUGAGGUAACGGCUCACCAAGGCGACGAUCCCUAGCUGGUCUGAGAGGAUGACCAGCCACACUGGAACUGAGACACGGUCCAGACUCCUACGGGAGGCAGCAGUGGGGAAUAUUGCACAAUGGGCGCAAGCCUGAUGCAGCCAUGCCGCGUGUAUGAAGAAGGCCUUCGGGUUGUAAAGUACUUUCAGCGGGGAGGAAGGUGUUGUGGUUAAUAACCGCAGCAAUUGACGUUACCCGCAGAAGAAGCACCGGCUAACUCCGUGCCAGCAGCCGCGGUAAUACGGAGGGUGCAAGCGUUAAUCGGAAUUACUGGGCGUAAAGCGCACGCAGGCGGUCUGUCAAGUCGGAUGUGAAAUCCCCGGGCUCAACCUGGGAACUGCAUUCGAAACUGGCAGGCUUGAGUCUUGUAGAGGGGGGUAGAAUUCCAGGNNNNNNNNNNNNNNNNNNNNGUGAAAUGCGUAGAGAUCUGGAGGAAUACCGGUGGCGAAGGCGGCCCCCUGGACAAAGACUGACGCUCAGGUGCGAAAGCGUGGGGAGCAAACAGGAUUAGAUACCCUGGUAGUCCACGCCGUAAACGAUGUCUACUUGGAGGUUGUGCCCUUGAGGCGUGGCUUCCGGAGCUAACGCGUUAAGUAGACCGCCUGGGGAGUACGGCCGCAAGGUUAAAACUCAAAUGAAUUGACGGGGGCCCGCACAAGCGGUGGAGCAUGUGGUUUAAUUCGAUGCAACGCGAAGAACCUUACCUGGUCUUGACAUCCACGGAAGUUUUCAGAGAUGAGAAUGUGCCUUCGGGAACCGUGAGACAGGUGCUGCAUGGCUGUCGUCAGCUCGUGUUGUGAAAUGUUGGGUUAAGUCCCGCAACGAGCGCAACCCUUAUCCUUUGUUGCCAGCGGUCCGGCCGGGAACUCAAAGGAGACUGCCAGUGAUAAACUGGAGGAAGGUGGGGAUGACGUCAAGUCAUCAUGGCCCUUACGACCAGGGCUACACACGUGCUACAAUGGCGCAUACAAAGAGAAGCGACCUCGCGAGAGCAAGCGGACCUCAUAAAGUGCGUCGUAGUCCGGAUUGGAGUCUGCAACUCGACUCCAUGAAGUCGGAAUCGCUAGUAAUCGUGGAUCAGAAUGCCACGGUGAAUACGUUCCCGGGCCUUGUACACACCGCCCGUCACACCAUGGGAGUGGGUUGCAAAAGAAGUAGGUAGCUUAACCUUCGGGAGGGCGCUUACCACUUUGUGAUUCAUGACUGGGGUGAAGUCGUAACAAGGUAACCGUAGGGGAACCUGCGGUUGGAUCACCUCCUUACCUUAAAGAAGCGUACUUUGCAGUGCUCACACAGAUUGUCUGAUGAAAA